GUUGACCUCGGAUCAGGUAGGAAUACCCGCUGAACUUAAGCAUAUCAAUAAGCGGAGGAAAUAA
RNAcentral lists this ribosomal RNA (64 nucleotides) under Trichoderma longibrachiatum. Its description in RNAcentral is "partial 28S ribosomal RNA". It matches the Rfam family "Eukaryotic large subunit ribosomal RNA", at positions 1 to 62 of the family's 3401-position model. The record is from RNAcentral. Lineage: Eukaryota; Fungi; Ascomycota; Sordariomycetes; Hypocreales; Hypocreaceae.